Scophthalmus maximus (turbot) is the source of this 841-nucleotide long non-coding RNA. RefSeq lists it as uncharacterized. The record is from RefSeq and is a predicted model, not a curated record. Lineage: Eukaryota; Metazoa; Chordata; Actinopteri; Pleuronectiformes; Scophthalmidae. The transcript is spliced from 3 exons.
GACCGAUUAUGGCAAACUAAAGCGAUUUCUGAAAUAUGCAGUUGUUCAUAAACAUAUGUUCUCAUUAGUUCGAUACGCUGCGAAAAGCCCCGUACACUUCGCAGAGAAGCCUGAACUACUGAGCCGUCCUCCCUCAAGAUACCAGCCUCUGUAACAGAACCCAGUAGCCAGUAUCGAUUUCCAACUGAAAAGAUGUGCUCUAAAAGCUUUGGGAAAUGUGCGAUGAGGCUCAUCUCUCUCUCUCUCCACUUGUUCACUUGUUUUGAUUGUGAAAAGUGUUCCUGCGGAGGCAAAGAUUCAGCACCGCAACACAGUAAGGACAAAUUAUAAGUUUCCGAUUUCUACCGGAAAAUGCUGUAUACAUUUUUUAGGAAAAUAAACUGAAGGAACAGAACAUCCACCCUAACUGGUAAUAAAACGUUUGUACAGUGUUUGUGUUGUACAGUGUGAUUGUUAGUCUGACUGAUGCUAGCUUUUUAUUGUCAUCUAUACCAUCAAUUUAUGAAAAUGAAGUAGGAAAUUAUGAAAGAGAAUGGCAUGGUGCACUGCUAUAUUUCAGAGAGUGAUUACAGCUGGAGAUUGUGUGUAUUAUUUUCAUAAUAUUUUUUCGAGAAGAUGUUGAGUAAUUGUCAUGGUAGAUUGGUUCUGAUCUCAUAAUCGCCAGAGAGAGAAAUUUGAGUUCAUAUGCUGUUUGUACAAAUUGGGUGGCUUAAAAAUAAUCAAUAAUCAACUCACUUGAGCAUGAGAUAUUUCUAAUCAGUAUCAAAAAGGUUUAAUGAAUCAAACAUCAACUGAAUAUAGGAAAACCGCCCACAGUAAUCUCCCCCGCCAACAGAAAUAU